GUGAAUCAUCAAAUUUUAGAACGCAAAUUGCACUCUCCUCGGAGAGUAUGCCUGUUUGAGGGUCAGCCUAUAAAAAUCGACAUCGUUGCUGUUUCGCGGUGGCGUUCGUCGGAAAUUGGGUCAUCUUAAAUCCUUUUGAUUUAAGCGACUUAAAAUUUUCUUUUGUUUCCUUAACCUUUUCUAGGUUUUUUUUCUUUCCACUUUUAUGUUUUCG
RNAcentral lists this unclassified non-coding RNA (214 nucleotides) under Glomus sp. RNAcentral's name for it is "partial contains 5.8S ribosomal RNA and internal transcribed spacer 2". The stretch from base 1 to 65 matches the Rfam family "5.8S ribosomal RNA", at positions 84 to 154 of the family's 154-position model. Lineage: Eukaryota; Fungi; Glomeromycota; Glomeromycetes; Glomerales; Glomeraceae. The record is from RNAcentral.